GGGUUGUGAGGUUAAGCGACUAAGCGUACACGGUGGAUGCCCUGGCAGUCAGAGGCGAUGAAGGACGUGCUAAUCUGCGAUAAGCGCCGGUAAGGUGAUAUGAACCGUUAUAACCGGCGAUUUCCGAAUGGGGAAACCCAGUGUGAUUCGUCACACUAUCAUUAACUGAAUCCAUAGGUUAAUGAGGCGAACCGGGGGAACUGAAACAUCUAAGUACCCCGAGGAAAAGAAAUCAACCGAGAUUCCCCCAGUAGCGGCGAGCGAACGGGGAGGAGCCCAGAGCCUGAAUCAGCAUGUGUGUUAGUGGAAGCGUCUGGAAAGGCGCGCGAUACAGGGUGACAGCCCCGUACACAAAAGCGCAUGUGCUGUGAGCUCGAUGAGUAGGGCGGGACACGUGGUAUCCUGUCUGAAUAUGGGGGGACCAUCCUCCAAGGCUAAAUACUCCUGACUGACCGAUAGUGAACCAGUACCGUGAGGGAAAGGCGAAAAGAACCCCGGCGAGGGGAGUGAAAAAGAACCUGAAACCGUGUACGUACAAGCAGUGGGAGCACAGGUUUACCUGUGUGACUGCGUACCUUUUGUAUAAUGGGUCAGCGACUUAUAUUCUGUAGCAAGGUUAACCGUAUAGGGGAGCCGUAGGGAAACCGAGUCUUAACCGGGCGUUAAGUUGCAGGGUAUAGACCCGAAACCCGGUGAUCUAGCCAUGGGCAGGUUGAAGGUUGGGUAACACUAACUGGAGGACCGAACCGACUAAUGUUGAAAAAUUAGCGGAUGACCUGUGGCUGGGGGUGAAAGGCCAAUCAAACCGGGAGAUAGCUGGUUCUCCCCGAAAGCUAUUUAGGUAGCGCCUCGUGAAUUCAUCUCCGGGGGUAGAGCACUGUUUCGGCUAGGGGGCCAUCCCGGCUUACCAACCCGAUGCAAACUGCGAAUACCGGAGAAUGUUAUCACGGGAGACACACGGCGGGUGCUAACGUCCGUCGUGAAGAGGGAAACAACCCAGACCGCCAGCUAAGGUCCCAAAGUCAUGGUUAAGUGGGAAACGAUGUGGGAAGGCCCAGACAGCCAGGAUGUUGGCUUAGAAGCAGCCAUCAUUUAAAGAAAGCGUAAUAGCUCACUGGUCGAGUCGGCCUGCGCGGAAGAUGUAACGGGGCUAAACCAUGCACCGAAGCUGCGGCAGCGAACGUAUCACUUAAAGCGAUUCAGCGGGUUACGAUUGACGGAGCGAAGCGACGUCAAAGCGUAUACAAAGUCGAGUCGGUUUAAGGAUACGUUCGUUGGGUAGGGGAGCGUUCUGUAAGCCUGCGAAGGUGGCCUGUGAGGGUUGCUGGAGGUAUCAGAAGUGCGAAUGCUGACAUAAGUAACGAUAAAGCGGGUGAAAAGCCCGCUCGCCGGAAGACCAAGGGUUCCUGUCCAACGUUAAUCGGGGCAGGGUGAGUCGACCCCUAAGGCGAGGCCGAAAGGCGUAGUCGAUGGGAAACGGGUUAAUAUUCCCGUACUUGGUGUUACUGCGAAGGGGGGACGGAGAAGGCUAUGUUGGCCGGGCGACGGUUGUCCCGGUUUAAGCGUGUAGGUGUGUGUUCCAGGUAAAUCCGGUUCACUUUAACACUGAGGCGUGAUGACGAGGCACUACGGUGCUGAAGCAACAAAUGCCCUGCUUCCAGGAAAAGCCUCUAAGCAUCAGGUAACAUCAAAUCGUACCCCAAACCGACACAGGUGGUCAGGUAGAGAAUACCAAGGCGCUUGAGAGAACUCGGGUGAAGGAACUAGGCAAAAUGGUGCCGUAACUUCGGGAGAAGGCACGCUGACACGUAGGUGAAGUGAUUUACUCAUGGAGCUGAAGUCAGUCGAAGAUACCAGCUGGCUGCAACUGUUUAUUAAAAACACAGCACUGUGCAAACACGAAAGUGGACGUAUACGGUGUGACGCCUGCCCGGUGCCGGAAGGUUAAUUGAUGGGGUCAGCGCAAGCGAAGCUCCUGAUCGAAGCCCCGGUAAACGGCGGCCGUAACUAUAACGGUCCUAAGGUAGCGAAAUUCCUUGUCGGGUAAGUUCCGACCUGCACGAAUGGCGUAAUGAUGGCCAGGCUGUCUCCACCCGAGACUCAGUGAAAUUGAACUCGCUGUGAAGAUGCAGUGUACCCGCGGCAAGACGGAAAGACCCCGUGAACCUUUACUAUAGCUUGACACUGAACAUUGAGCCUUGAUGUGUAGGAUAGGUGGGAGGCUUUGAAGUGUGGACGCCAGUCUGCAUGGAGCCGACCUUGAAAUACCACCCUUUAAUGUUUGAUGUUCUAACGUGGACCCGUUACCCGGGUUGCGGACAGUGUCUGGUGGGUAGUUUGACUGGGGCGGUCUCCUCCUAAAGAGUAACGGAGGAGCACGAAGGUUGGCUAAUCCUGGUCGGACAUCAGGAGGUUAGUGCAAUGGCAUAAGCCAGCUUGACUGCGAGCGUGACGGCGCGAGCAGGUGCGAAAGCAGGUCAUAGUGAUCCGGUGGUUCUGAAUGGAAGGGCCAUCGCUCAACGGAUAAAAGGUACUCCGGGGAUAACAGGCUGAUACCGCCCAAGAGUUCAUAUCGACGGCGGUGUUUGGCACCUCGAUGUCGGCUCAUCACAUCCUGGGGCUGAAGUAGGUCCCAAGGGUAUGGCUGUUCGCCAUUUAAAGUGGUACGCGAGCUGGGUUUAGAACGUCGUGAGACAGUUCGGUCCCUAUCUGCCGUGGGCGCUGGAGAACUGAGGGGGGCUGCUCCUAGUACGAGAGGACCGGAGUGGACGCAUCACUGGUGUUCGGGUUGUCAUGCCAAUGGCACUGCCCGGUAGCUAAAUGCGGAAGAGAUAAGUGCUGAAAGCAUCUAAGCACGAAACUUGCCCCGAGAUGAGUUCUCCCUGAGACUUUAAGUCUCCUGAAGGAACGUUGAAGACGACGACGUUGAUAGGCCGGGUGUGUAAGCGCAGCGAUGCGUUGAGCUAACCGGUACUAAUGAACCGUGAGGCUUAACCUUACAACGCCGAAG
This 3010-nucleotide ribosomal RNA is filed under the name Salmonella enterica subsp. enterica serovar Senftenberg. Its description in RNAcentral is "23S ribosomal RNA". It matches the Rfam family "Bacterial large subunit ribosomal RNA". The record is from RNAcentral. Lineage: Bacteria; Pseudomonadati; Pseudomonadota; Gammaproteobacteria; Enterobacterales; Enterobacteriaceae.